AAGUCGUAACAAGGUAACCGUAGGUGAACCUGCGGUUGGAUCAUUAACAAAAUUAGAAGGGUUGUCCAAAAGACGACCAUUUCUUAACAAAUGUGAACAGUUUAUGUCUCUGGUGGGUUAAAAUAUUAGUUAGCUAAUAGGCCAUUAGGUCACCCACUGAUAACUUAACAUAAUAAUAUUAAAAGUCAUUAAAAGUUAUUUAAAAUCUUUUACAACUUUUGGCAACGGAUCUCUAGGCUCUC
This 242-nucleotide unclassified non-coding RNA is filed under the name fungal sp. RNAcentral describes it as "partial internal transcribed spacer region". The stretch from base 1 to 46 matches the Rfam family "Eukaryotic small subunit ribosomal RNA", at positions 1786 to 1831 of the family's 1831-position model. The record is from RNAcentral. Lineage: Eukaryota; Fungi.